AGAAUCAACGCUGGCGGCGUGCCUAACACAUGCAAGUCGCACGAGAAAGGGGCUUCGGCUCUGAGUAAAGUGGCGCACGGGUGAGUAACACGUGACUAAUCUACCCUCGAGUGGGGAAUAACUGAGAGAAAUCUUAGCUAAUACCGCAUAACACUUACGAGUCAAAGCAGCAAUGCGCUUGGGGAGGAGGUCGCGGCCGAUUAGCUAGUUGGCGGGGUAAUGGCCCACCAAGGCGAUGAUCGGUAUCCGGCCUGAGAGGGCGCACGGACACACUGGAACUGAAACACGGUCCAGACUCCUACGGGAGGCAGCAGUGGGGAAUUUUGCGCAAUGGGGGAAACCCUGACGCAGCAACGCCGCGUGGAGGAUGAAAUAUCUUGGUAUGUAAACUCCUUUCGAUGGGGAAGAUUAUGACGGUACCAUAGAAGAAGCCCCGGCUAACUUCGCGCCAGCAGCCGC
Molecule: ribosomal RNA, 459 nt
Filed under: uncultured bacterium
Lineage: Bacteria
Description: SSU rRNA
Rfam family: Bacterial small subunit ribosomal RNA
Source: RNAcentral